This 253-nucleotide ribosomal RNA is filed under the name uncultured bacterium. RNAcentral's name for it is "partial 16S ribosomal RNA". It matches the Rfam family "Bacterial small subunit ribosomal RNA", at positions 524 to 776 of the family's 1533-position model. The record is from RNAcentral.
UACGUAGGUGGCAAGCGUUAUCCGGAUUUACUGGGCGUAAAGCGUGUGCAGGCGGGGGUACAAGUGGUGUAUGAAAUUUCCCAGCUUAACUGGGAAGGGUUAUGCCAGACUGUACUUCUGGAGUGCGAGAGAGGGGCGUGGAAUUCCGGGUGUAGUGGUGAAAUGCGUAGAGAUCCGGAGGAACCCCAGAGGCGAAGGCGGCGCCCUGGCUCGCAACUGACGCUCAGACACGACAGCAUGGGGAGCGAACGGG